RNAcentral lists this ribosomal RNA (468 nucleotides) under uncultured bacterium. RNAcentral's name for it is "partial 16S ribosomal RNA". It matches the Rfam family "Bacterial small subunit ribosomal RNA", at positions 28 to 507 of the family's 1533-position model. The record is from RNAcentral.
GACGAACGCUGGCGGCGUGCUUAACACAUGCAAGUCGAACGGAAAGGCCCUGCUUUUGUGGGGUGCUCGAGUGGCGAACGGGUGAGUAACACGUGAGUAACCUGCCCUUGACUUUGGGAUAACUUCAGGAAACUGGGGCUAAUACCGGAUAGGAGCUCCUGCUGCAUGGUGGGGGUUGGAAAGUUUCGGCGGUUGGGGAUGGACUCGCGGCUUAUCAGCUUGUUGGUGGGGUAGUGGCUUACCAAGGCUUUGACGGGUAGCCGGCCUGAGAGGGUGACCGGACACAUUGGGACUGAGGUACGGCCCAGACUCGUACGGGAGGCAGCAGUGGGGAAUAUUGCACAAUGGGCGGAAGCCUGAGGCAGCAACGCCGCGUGCGGGAUGACGGCCUUCGGGUUGUAAACCGCUUUCGCCUGUGACGAAGCGUGAGUGACGGUAAUGGGUAAAGAAGCACCGGCUAACUACGUG